GAUGAACGCUAGCUACAGGCUUAACACAUGCAAGUCGAGGGGAAACGGCAUUCAGUGCUUGCACUGAAUGGACGUCGACCGGCGCACGGGUGAGUAACGCGUAUCCAACCUUCCCAUUACUGUGGGAUAACCUGCCGAAAGGCAGACUAAUACCGCAUAGUCUUCGAUGACGGCAUCAGAUUUGAAGUAAAGAUUUAUCGGUAAUGGAUGGGGAUGCGUCUGAUUAGCUUGUUGGCGGGGUAACGGCCCACCAAGGCAACGAUCAGUAGGGGUUCUGAGAGGAAGGUCCCCCACAUUGGAACUGAGACACGGUCCAAACUCCUACGGGAGGCAGCAGUGAGGAAUAUUGGUCAAUGGACGAGAGUCUGAACCAGCCAAGUAGCGUGCAGGAUGACGGCCCUAUGGGUUGUAAACUGCUUUUGUAUGGGGAUAAAGUCAAUCACGUGUGAUUGCUUGCAGGUACCAUACGAAUAAGGACCGGCUAAUUCCGUGCCAGCAGCCGCGGUAAUACGGAAGGUCCGGGCGUUAUCCGGAUUUAUUGGGUUUAAAGGGAGCGUAGGCCGGAGAUUAAGUGUGUUGUGAAAUGUAGACGCUCAACGUCUGACUUGCAGCGCAUACUGGUUUCCUUGAGUACGCACAACGUUGGCGGAAUUCGUCGUGUAGCGGUGAAAUGCUUAGAUAUGACGAAGAACUCCGAUUGCGAAGGCAGCUGACGGGAGCGCAACUGACGCUUAAGCUCGAAGGUGCGGGUAUCGAACAGG
This 761-nucleotide ribosomal RNA is filed under the name Prevotella melaninogenica. Its description in RNAcentral is "bacterial SSU rRNA". It matches the Rfam family "Bacterial small subunit ribosomal RNA", at positions 28 to 776 of the family's 1533-position model. The record is from RNAcentral. Lineage: Bacteria; Pseudomonadati; Bacteroidota; Bacteroidia; Bacteroidales; Prevotellaceae.